RNAcentral lists this ribosomal RNA (500 nucleotides) under uncultured bacterium. Its description in RNAcentral is "bacterial SSU rRNA". It matches the Rfam family "Bacterial small subunit ribosomal RNA", at positions 8 to 507 of the family's 1533-position model. The record is from RNAcentral.
AGAGUUUGAUCCUGGCUCAGGAUGAACGCUGGCGGCGUGCCUAACACAUGCAAGUCGGGCGAGAAACCAUCGAUUGAAACUUCGGUAGAUAUUGAAGGCGGAAGGCGGCGGACGGGUGAGUAACGCGUAGGCAACCUGCCCUUUGCAGAGGGAUAGCAACGGGAAACUGUUAUUAAAACCUCAUAAUACCGUAAUGUCAAAUGAUGAAACGGUCAAAGAUUUAUCGGCAAAGGAUGGGCCUGCGUCUGAUUAGUUAGUUGGUAGGGUAACGGCCUACCAAGGCAGCGAUCAGUAGCCGACCUGAGAGGGUGAUCGGCCACAUUGGAACUGAGACACGGUCCAAACUCCUACGGGAGGCAGCAGUGGGGAAUAUUGCACAAUGGGCGAAAGCCUGAUGCAGCAACGCCGCGUGAAGGAUGAAGGCCUUUGGGUCGUAAACUUCUGUCCUUGGGGAAGAAAAAAUGACGGUACCCCUGGAGGAAGUCCCGGCUAACUACGUG